Molecule: transfer RNA, 97 nt
Filed under: Streptomyces sp. F-1
Lineage: Bacteria; Bacillati; Actinomycetota; Actinomycetes; Kitasatosporales; Streptomycetaceae
Description: tRNA-Cys
Rfam family: tRNA
About the family: Transfer RNA (tRNA) molecules are approximately 80 nucleotides in length.
Source: RNAcentral
GGAGAGGUGCCCGGAGCGGUUCAACGGGGACCGGCGAGCAUGGCUCGGAGGUCGGGUCCGCAAGGACCUGCGCAGGUUCGAAUCCUGCCCUCUCCGC